RNAcentral lists this ribosomal RNA (254 nucleotides) under uncultured bacterium. RNAcentral describes it as "partial 16S ribosomal RNA". It matches the Rfam family "Bacterial small subunit ribosomal RNA", at positions 524 to 776 of the family's 1533-position model. The record is from RNAcentral.
UACGUAGGUGGCAAGCGUUGUCCGGAUUUAUUGGGUUUAAAGGGUGCGUAGGCGGUCUUUUAAGUCAGUGCUGAAAUAUCCCGGCUUAACCGGGAGGGUGGCAUUGAUACUGAAGGACUUGAGUACAGUCGAGGUAGGCGGAAUUGACGGUGUAGCGGUGAAAUGCUUAGAUAUCGUCAAGAACACCGAUAGUGUAGACAGCUUACUAGGCUGAAACUGACGCUGAGGCACGAAAAGUGUGGGGAUCAAACAGG